Molecule: ribosomal RNA, 532 nt
Filed under: Salmonella enterica
Lineage: Bacteria; Pseudomonadati; Pseudomonadota; Gammaproteobacteria; Enterobacterales; Enterobacteriaceae
Description: partial 23S ribosomal RNA
Source: RNAcentral
CGAUGAGUAGGGCGGGACACGUGGUAUCCUGUCUGAAUAUGGGGGGACCAUCCUCCAAGGCUAAAUACUCCUGACUGACCGAUAGUGAACCAGUACCGUGAGGGAAAGGCGAAAAGAACCCCGGCGAGGGGAGUGAAAAAGAACCUGAAACCGUGUACGUACAAGCAGUGGGAGCACAGGUUUACCUGUGUGACUGCGUACCUUUUGUAUAAUGGGUCAGCGACUUAUAUUCUGUAGCAAGGUUAACCGWAUAGGGGAGCCGKAGGGAAACCGAGUCUUAAYYGGGCGUUAAGUUGCAGGGUAUAGACCCGAAACCCGGUGAUCUAGCCAUGGGCAGGUUGAAGGUUGGGUAACACUAACUGGAGGACCGAACCGACUAAUGUUGAAAAAUUAGCGGAUGACCUGUGGCUGGGGGUGAAAGGCCAAUCAAACCGGGAGAUAGCUGGUUCUCCCCGAAAGCUAUUUAGGUAGCGCCUCGUGAAUUCAUCUCCGGGGGUAGAGCACUGUUUCGGCUAGGGGGCCAUCCCGGCUU